GGAUGCUAACGGAAAAGGGGCAGCUGAUGAGAGUGGUCCCUCAAGAGAAUUUAUCCGGCUGCUAAUGAGUGCCAUCCAUUCCUCUGCAAUAUUUUGAGGGACCUGAUUGACAAAAAUGCCUUUCUUGCAACUCUCAAGCAACAUGGGGGUGUAGAGCCACAUUUUUUCAGAGAGGCUAUACAGGCAUGUGUGUGGCCUACAACCUGUGCCAGAACUGAAAGAAAUUGCAGAAUAUGACUUUAGAGAGAAGUUGGAGAAGUUCAAUAAACAAUCUAAGAUCCAGUAGCACAAACUGUUGACGAGGCACAGGAAGUGGUCAUGUUGGGUCCAGUGCGAUACAUUCGUACAUUGGAGAGGGAUGCCCUGGUGGAGUCAGCCACAAAGUUCUACUUAGAAAGCAGGAUACGGGAUGCUCUUGAGUAAUUCAAAGAGGGUCUGGAGUGUCUAGGUCUCCUGUCUUACAUGAAUAGACACUCAAGCCUCAGAGAGGUUUUCAUCUACGCUGAGAAACCUCUUUUGGCCAAAGACAUAGCUUCUCUCUCCAAAGCAGAGCGCUCCCCACCUGGUACCAAUCAAAGAGCAAUAGAGAGAGGAGUCAUAUGUUUCCGGAGGGACUGACUUCUGGAGGUGGAAGGGGGGAACACAUAACCUCCGUGGUUAAAGGGUUUCAUUUUCACUUUCGGGGCUUCAGCAUUCCUAGGCUGGGAUUGCCAGUGGAGCCACAGCUACAGUUCUCUGCAACCGCACGGCAAGCUGUACCGGAGCACCAAGUCUAGGUCCAAGAGGCUUCUAAACAGAUUCUACCAGAUUCUA
This is a non-coding RNA of Salvelinus sp. IW2-2015, 813 nucleotides long. Lineage: Eukaryota; Metazoa; Chordata; Actinopteri; Salmoniformes; Salmonidae. The record is from RefSeq and is a predicted model, not a curated record.